This is a non-coding RNA of Picea glauca (white spruce), 80 nucleotides long. The record is from Rfam. NCBI's taxonomy places the organism in Eukaryota, Viridiplantae, Streptophyta, Pinopsida, Pinales, Pinaceae.
UUUGGCACAAUGAGGACUUGUAUAUAUUGAGGAUGAAUAUCCCAUGCAAGAAAUUAAGUCCUUUUCAUUCUGAGUGCCUU